CUCUGCUCUGGCCGAGAGCAGCUCUGGCUCUGCUCUGCCUCCGGCACCCGCACCAGAUCCGGCGCCCCUGCCGCCGCCGCGCCAGUCACCUCCACCCCUCGCAGAUCCGCCGCCCCAAAUCCCGAUCUGAAAAUUGGAAAUUCAAACAGGACGACGUCGUUUCACGAGUAUAGGACGACGUCGUUUCUUCACAUCGUCGCCGGUGCCAAGUCAGCUUUCAGGUGACUUAAAUGGUGCCAAGUCAGCAGUCAAAUUGGGGAUUUUCGAAAAUCAUGGAAAAAUUGAUCACGCCCUUAAGUUCAGGGAAAAUUUGAUAAAAAUCAAAGUUCAUGGUA
RNAcentral lists this long non-coding RNA (335 nucleotides) under Salvia miltiorrhiza (redroot sage). RNAcentral's name for it is "long non-coding RNA (SMIL_LNC009579)". Lineage: Eukaryota; Viridiplantae; Streptophyta; Magnoliopsida; Lamiales; Lamiaceae. The record is from RNAcentral.